Molecule: small nucleolar RNA, 133 nt
Organism: Nycticebus coucang (slow loris)
Lineage: Eukaryota; Metazoa; Chordata; Mammalia; Primates; Lorisidae
Product: small nucleolar RNA SNORA72
Exons: 1
Source: RefSeq, a predicted model, not a curated record
UUGCAAAUAUUCUCGCUGUUUUGAUUUUAUAAUAAUCAGCACAGGCUAAACAUUCACUAUAUAAAAACCAUGCAUGUGUCCCCCAGACCUAGUUCUUUUCCUACGUUUGGUUUUAUAAAUGUUGGUGAUAAAU